Molecule: ribosomal RNA, 460 nt
Filed under: uncultured bacterium
Lineage: Bacteria
Description: partial 16S ribosomal RNA
Rfam family: Bacterial small subunit ribosomal RNA
Source: RNAcentral
CCUACGGGUGGCAGCAGUGAGGAAUAUUGGGCAAUGGCCGUAAGGCUGAACCAGCCAAGUCGCGUGAAGGAAGAAGGAGCUAUGGGUGGUAAACUGCUGUUAUAGGGGAAUAAAGGGAGCCACGUGUGGAGAUUUGCAUGUACCCUAUGAAUAAGCAUCGGCUAACUCCGUGCCAGCAGCCGCGGUAAUACGGAGGAUGCGAGCGUGAUCCGGAUUUGUUGGGUUUAAAGGGUGCGUAGGGUGUUUUUUAAGUCAGCGGUGAAAGUUUGUGGCUCCACCAUAAAAUUGCCGUUGAAACUGGCAGACUUGAGUGUGUUUGAGGUAGGCGGAAUGCGUGGUGUAGCGGUGAAAUGCAUAGAUAUCACGCAGAACUCCGAUUGCGAAGGCAGCUUACUAGGCCAUAACUGACACUGAGGCACGAAAGCGUGGGGAUCAAACAGGAUUAGAUACCCGAGUAGUC